Molecule: ribosomal RNA, 109 nt
Filed under: Pteropus alecto (black flying fox)
Lineage: Eukaryota; Metazoa; Chordata; Mammalia; Chiroptera; Pteropodidae
Source: RNAcentral
GUCUACAGCCAUGCUAUUCUGAACAAGUCCGAUCCUGUCUGAUCUCAAAAGCUAAGUCUGGUUAGUACCUGGAUGGGAGACCACCUAGGAAGACCAGGUACUGUAGGUG